This 609-nucleotide ribosomal RNA is filed under the name uncultured rumen bacterium. Its description in RNAcentral is "bacterial SSU rRNA". It matches the Rfam family "Bacterial small subunit ribosomal RNA", at positions 34 to 642 of the family's 1533-position model. The record is from RNAcentral.
CGCUGGCGGCGUGCUAACACAUGCAAGUCGAACGGACGGAUAGAGACGGAGGCCUUCGGGCGGAAGACUUUAUACGUUAGUGGCGGACGGGUGAGUAACGCGUGGGUAACCUGCCUUACAUAGGGGGAUAACGAUUGGAAACGAUCGCUAAUACCGCAUAAGACCACAGUACCGCAUGGUACAGAGGUAAAAACUCCGGUGAUGUAAGAUGGACCCGCGUCUGAUUAGCCAGUUGGUGGGGUAACGGCCUACCAAAGCGACGAUCAGUAGCCGACCUGAGAGGGUGAUCGGCCACAUUGGGACUGAGACACGGCCCAAACUCCUACGGGAGGCAGCAGUGGGGAAUAUUGCACAAUGGGGGAAACCCUGAUGCAGCGACGCCGCGUGAGUGAAGAAGUAUUUCGGUAUGUAAAACUCUUUAAGCAGGGAAGAUAAUGACGGUACCUGCAGAAUAAGCACCGGCUAAAUACGUGCCAGCAGCCGCGGUAAUACGUAUGGUGCAAGCGUUAUCCGGAUUUACUGGGUGUAAAGGGAGCGUAGGUGGUUUGGCAAGCCAGAAGUGAAAACCCGGGGCUCAACCCCGCGGAUUGCUUUUGGAACUGUUGGACU